AACGAACGCUGGCGGCAUGCCUAACACAUGCAAGUCGAACGAGGCCUUCGGGUCUAGUGGCGCACGGGUGCGUAACGCGUGGGAACCUGCCUUUAGGUUCGGAAUAACUCAGAGAAAUUUGAGCUAAUACCGGAUGAUGUCUUCGGACCAAAGAUUUAUCGCCUUUAGAUGGGCCCGCGUUGGAUUAGCUAGUUGGUGGGGUAAAGGCCUACCAAGGCGACGAUCCAUAGCUGGUCUGAGAGGAUGAUCAGCCACACUGGGACUGAGACACGGCCCAGACUCCUACGGGAGGCAGCAGUGGGGAAUAUUGGACAAUGGGCGAAAGCCUGAUCCAGCAAUGCCGCGUGAGUGAUGAAGGCCUUAGGGUUGUAAAGCUCUUUUACCCGAGAUGAUAAUGACAGUAUCGGGAGAAUAAGCGCCGGCUAACUCCGUG
This 433-nucleotide ribosomal RNA is filed under the name uncultured bacterium. RNAcentral describes it as "partial 16S ribosomal RNA". It matches the Rfam family "Bacterial small subunit ribosomal RNA", at positions 29 to 507 of the family's 1533-position model. The record is from RNAcentral.